Molecule: ribosomal RNA, 841 nt
Filed under: uncultured bacterium
Lineage: Bacteria
Description: bacterial SSU rRNA
Rfam family: Bacterial small subunit ribosomal RNA
Source: RNAcentral
AGUCGAGCGAGCGGAACUAACAGAUUUACUUCGGUAAUGACGUUAGGAAAGCGAGCGGCGGAUGGGUGAGUAACACGUGGGGAAUCUGCCCCAUAGUCUGGGAUACCACUUGGAAACAGGUGCUAAUACCGGAUAAGAAAGCAGAUCGCAUGAUCAGCUUUUAAAAGGCGGCGUAAGCUGUCGCUAUGGGAUGGCCCCGCGGUGCAUUAGCUAGUUGGUAAGGUAAAGGCUUACCAAGGCGAUGAUGCAUAGCCGAGUUGAGAGACUGAUCGGCCACAUUGGGACUGAGACACGGCCCAAACUCCUACGGGAGGCAGCAGUAGGGAAUCUUCCACAAUGGACGCAAGUCUGAUGGAGCAACGCCGCGUGAGUGAAGAAGGUUUUCGGAUCGUAAAGCUCUGUUGUUGGUGAAGAAGGAUAGAGGUAGUAACUGGCCUUUAUUUGACGGUAAUCAACCAGAAAGUCACGGCUAACUACGUGCCAGCAGCCGCGGUAAUACGUAGGUGGCAAGCGUUGUCCGGAUUUAUUGGGCGUAAAGCGAGCGCAGGCGGAAGAAUAAGUCUGAUGUGAAAGCCCUCGGCUUAACCGAGGAACUGCAUCGGAAACUGUUUUUCUUGAGUGCAGAAGAGGAGAGUGGAACUCCAUGUGUAGCGGUGGAAUGCGUAGAUAUAUGGAAGAACACCAGUGGCGAAGGCGGCUCUCUGGUCUGCAACUGACGCUGAGGCUCGAAAGCAUGGGUAGCGAACAGGAUUAGAUACCCUGGUAGUCCAUGCCGUANACGAUGAGUGCUAAGUGUUGGGAGGUUUCCGCCUCUCAGUGCUGCAGCUAACGCAUUAAGCAC